UCCUCCACAAAGAUUAAAGUCUGUAAGCAUACUCUCGUUUCAGCCAUGACUGCCACCUUUAAGCAUUCAGAAAACAGGCCUCAGCACCGUCUCUCAGUACAGAUUUCGGCGAUCUUCCUCAACUUGUGGUUCUGCAAAGUCUGGCACACCUCCAGUAAGGUAAGUAUCCCUUCCCCUUUUCAGACCUUCUGUUGCCAAAUAAUGUGUCGUUUCAUUCCCCUUUCUUGAAACAUGCUUAAACAUGCGUUGCAUGAAAAUCUGACUAAGGGAUUUUGACUCUUCAAUGUAUGCACUAAUAACUGAU
RNAcentral lists this long non-coding RNA (304 nucleotides) under Gossypium barbadense (sea-island cotton). Its description in RNAcentral is "long non-coding RNA (GBAR_LNC009442)". The record is from RNAcentral. Lineage: Eukaryota; Viridiplantae; Streptophyta; Magnoliopsida; Malvales; Malvaceae.